CGCCUGUUUACCAAAAACAUCCGCCUCUUGCAAAUCAAAGCAUAAGAGGUCCCGCCUGCCCUGUGACUAUGGGUUUAACGGCCGCGGUAUUUUGACCGUGCGAAGGUAGCGCAAUCACUUGUCUUUUAAAUGAAGACCUGUAUGAAUGGCAUCACGAGGGCUUAGCUGUCUCCUCUCCCAAGUCAAUGAAAUUGAUCUGUCCGUGCAGAAGCGGGCAUAAGUACAUAAGACGAGAAGACCCUAUGGAGCUUUAGACACCAGGCAGAUCACGUCAAGUAACCUUAAAUUAAUAAGUGGAAACGCAGUGACCCCUAGCCCAUAUGUCUUUGGUUGGGGCGACCGCGGGGGAAAAUAAAGCCCCCAUGUGGACUGGGGGCACUGCCCCCACAGCCGAGAGCUACAGCUCUAAGCACCAGAAUUUCUGACCAAAAAUGAUCCGGCGAACGCCGAUCAACGGACCGAGUUACCCUAGGGAUAACAGCGCAAUCCUCUCCCAGAGUCCCUAUCGACGAGGGGGUUUACGACCUCGAUGUUGGAUCAGGACAUCCUAAUGGUGCAGCCGCUAUUAAGGGUUCGUUUGUUCAACGAUUAAAGUCCUACGUGAUCUGAGUUCAGACCGG
This 620-nucleotide ribosomal RNA is filed under the name Salvelinus fontinalis (brook trout). RNAcentral's name for it is "partial 16S ribosomal RNA". It matches the Rfam family "Bacterial large subunit ribosomal RNA", at positions 1797 to 2619 of the family's 2925-position model. The record is from RNAcentral. Lineage: Eukaryota; Metazoa; Chordata; Actinopteri; Salmoniformes; Salmonidae.